Molecule: ribosomal RNA, 459 nt
Filed under: uncultured bacterium
Lineage: Bacteria
Description: bacterial SSU rRNA
Rfam family: Bacterial small subunit ribosomal RNA
Source: RNAcentral
UACGGAAGGCAGCAGUGGGGAAUAUUGCACAAUGGGCGAAAGCCUGAUGCAGCUAUGCCGCGUGUAUGAAGAAGGCCUUAGGGUUGUAAAGUACUUUCAUCGGGGAGGAAAAAACAAAACUAAUAAUUUUAUUUCUUGACGUUACCCGAAAAAGAAGCACCGGCUAACUCCGUGCCAGCAGCCGCGGUAAUACGGAGGGUGCUAGCGUUAAUCAGAAUUACUGGGCGUAAAGAGCACGUAGGUGGUUUUUUUAAGUCAGAUGUGAAAUCCCUGGGCUUAACCUGGAACUGCAUUUUGAAACUGAAAUACUAGAGUAUCGUAGAGGGAGGUAGAAUUCUAGGUGUAGCGGUUGAAAUGCGUAGAUAUCUGGAGGAAUACCUGUGGCGAAAGCGGCCUCCUAAACGAAUACUGACACUGAGGUGCGAAAGCGUGGGGAGCAAACAGGGAUUAGAUACCCGU